Molecule: ribosomal RNA, 224 nt
Filed under: uncultured bacterium
Lineage: Bacteria
Description: partial 16S ribosomal RNA
Rfam family: Bacterial small subunit ribosomal RNA
Source: RNAcentral
UGAGUAAUAUAUAGCUAAUCUGCCCCUUGCUGGAGGACAACGGUUAGAAAUGACUGCUAAUACUCCAUACUCCUUUUUACCAUAAGAUAAAUCGGGAAAGAAUUUCGGCAAGGGAUGAGACUAUAUCGUAUCAGCUAGUCGGUGGGGUAACGGCCUACCGAGGCUAUGACGCGUAACUGGUCUGAGAGGAUGAUCAGUCACAUUGGAACUGAGACACGGUCCAA